AAUAAAUUUAUUUUUUAUUUUUUACCUUUAAUUUUUGACUCUUUGUCUUAUUUAAAUUUUUUUACGAUUGAUAUUUUUGUUUUUAUUAGAUGAUAAAUUAUGAAUAAUACUUUACGUGUGACUAAUUUUUUUAAAUUUUCUAAAAUUUUUUUAAAUAAGACGGAUGGUCAAACAUUGGACACAGAAACCAGAGAAUUCGUUUUUU
This 205-nucleotide microRNA precursor is filed under the name Oryza brachyantha (malo sina). RNAcentral describes it as "MIR812 microRNA precursor family". It matches the Rfam family "MIR812 microRNA precursor family". The record is from Rfam by way of RNAcentral. Lineage: Eukaryota; Viridiplantae; Streptophyta; Magnoliopsida; Poales; Poaceae.